This 429-nucleotide ribosomal RNA is filed under the name Chloroflexota bacterium. Its description in RNAcentral is "Chloroflexi bacterium partial 16S ribosomal RNA". It matches the Rfam family "Bacterial small subunit ribosomal RNA", at positions 355 to 776 of the family's 1533-position model. Lineage: Bacteria; Bacillati; Chloroflexota. The record is from RNAcentral.
UGGGGAAUAUUGCACAAUGGGCGCAAGCCUGAUGCAGCCAUGCCGCGUGUAUGAAGAAGGCCUUCGGGUUGUAAAGUACUUUCAGCGGGGAGGAAGGGAGUAAAGUUAAUACCUUUGCUCAUUGACGUUACCCGCAGAAGAAGCACCGGCUAACUCCGUGCCAGCAGCCGCGGUAAUACGGAGGGUGCAAGCGUUAAUCGGAAUUACUGGGCGUAAAGCGCACGCAGGCGGUUUGUUAAGUCAGAUGUGAAAUCCUCGGGCUCAACCUGGGAACUGCAUCUGAUACUGGCAAGCUUGAGUCUCGUAGAGGGGGGUAGAAUUCCAGGUGUAGCGGUGAAAUGCGUAGAGAUCUGGAGGAAUACCGGUGGCGAAGGCGGCCCCCUGGACGAAGACUGACGCUCAGGUGCGAAAGCGUGGUGAGCAAACAGG